RNAcentral lists this ribosomal RNA (527 nucleotides) under uncultured bacterium. RNAcentral describes it as "bacterial SSU rRNA". It matches the Rfam family "Bacterial small subunit ribosomal RNA", at positions 355 to 896 of the family's 1533-position model. The record is from RNAcentral.
UGGGGAAUAUUGGACAAUGGACCAAGAGUCUGAUCCAGCAAUUCUGUGUGCACGAUGAAGUUUUUCGGAAUGUAAAGUGCUUUCAGUUGGGAAGAAAAAAAUGACGGUACCAACAGAAGAAGUGACGGCUAAAUACGUGCCAGCAGCCGCGGUAAUACGUAUGUCACAAGCGUUAUCCGGAUUUAUUGGGCGUAAAGUGCGUCUAGGUGGUUAUGUAAGUCUGAUGUGAAAAUGCAGGGCUCAACUCUGUAUUGCGUUGGAAACUGUAUAACUAGAGUACUGGAGAGGUAAGCGGAACUACAAGUGUAGAGGUGAAAUUCGUAGAUAUUUGUAGGAAUGCCGAUGGGGAAGCCAGCUUACUGGACAGAUACUGACGCUUUAAACACGGAACACGUGGGGUGGGAAACAGGAUUAGAUACCCUGGUAGUCCAUGCCGUAAACGAUGAUUACUAGGUGUUGGGGGUCGAACCUCAGCGCCCAAGCAAACGCGAUAAGUAAUCCGCCUGGGGAGUACGUACGCAAGUAUG